Molecule: ribosomal RNA, 404 nt
Filed under: Actinomycetes bacterium
Lineage: Bacteria; Bacillati; Actinomycetota; Actinomycetes
Description: Actinobacteria bacterium partial 16S ribosomal RNA
Rfam family: Bacterial small subunit ribosomal RNA
Source: RNAcentral
UGGGGAAUAUUGGACAAUGGGCGCAAGCCUGAUCCAGCCAUGCCGCGUGAGUGAUGAAGGCCCUAGGGUUGUAAAGCUCUUUCACCGGUGAAGAUAAUGACGGUAACCGGAGAAGAAGCCCCGGCUAACUUCGUGCCAGCAGCCGCGGUAAUACGAAGGGGGCUAGCGUUGUUCGGAUUUACUGGGCGUAAAGCGCACGUAGGCGGACUAUUAAGUCAGGGGUGAAAUCCCGGGGCUCAACCCCGGAACUGCCUUUGAUACUGGUAGUCUUGAGUUCGAGAGAGGUGAGUGGAAUUCCGAGUGUAGAGGUGAAAUUCGUAGAGAUUCGGAGGAACACCAGUGGCGAAGGCGGCUCACUGGCUCGAUACUGACGCUGAGGUGCGAAAGCGUGGGGAGCAAACAGG